UACGUAGGGGGCAAGCGUUGUCCGGAAUCAUUGGGCGUAAAGAGCGUGUAGGCGGCUCGAUAAGUCUGCUGUGAAAGUCCAGGGCUCAACCCUGGAAGGCCGGUGGAAACUGUCGGGCUAGAGUCCGGAAGAGGCGAGUGGAACUCCUGGUGUAGCGGUGGAAUGCGCAGAUAUCAGGAAGAACACCAACGGCGAAGGCAGCUCGCUGGGACGGUACUGACGCUGAGACGCGAAAGCGUGGGGAGCGAACAGG
Molecule: ribosomal RNA, 253 nt
Filed under: uncultured bacterium
Lineage: Bacteria
Description: partial 16S ribosomal RNA
Rfam family: Bacterial small subunit ribosomal RNA
Source: RNAcentral